This 1320-nucleotide ribosomal RNA is filed under the name metagenome. RNAcentral describes it as "bacterial LSU rRNA". It matches the Rfam family "Bacterial large subunit ribosomal RNA", at positions 1561 to 2925 of the family's 2925-position model. The record is from RNAcentral.
AGUGGAUGGGGAGCAACCUAGUUGUGCGUGUGUAAAGGUGGUGCCAAGAAAAGCGGUGAUCAUGAUGAAAAUCAAUUCCCGGUACCCGAAACCGACACAGGUGGGCAAGUAGAGAAUACUAAGGGGCGCGAGGUAACUCUCUCCAAGGAACUCGGCAAAAUGACCCCGUAACUUAGGGAGAAGGGGUGCCACCGAGAGGUGGUCGCAGUGAAGAGGCCCAGGCGACUGUUUAGCAAAAACAUAGGUCUCUGCAAACUCGAAAGAGGAGGUAUAGGGGCUGACGCCUGCCCAGUGCCGGAAGGUUAAAGAAGUUGGUCAGUCUUAGGAUGAAGCUAGCGACUGAAGCCCCGGUGAACGGCGGCCGUAACUAUAACGGUCCUAAGGUAGCGAAAUUCCUUGUCGGGUAAGUUCCGACCCGCACGAAAGGCGUAACGAUCUGGGCGCUGUCUCGGAGAGAGGCUCGGCGAAAUAGGAUUGUCUGUGAAGAUACGGACUACCUGCAUUUGGACAGAAAGACCCUAUGAAGCUUUACUAUAGCUUGGAAUUGUGUUCGGGCUUCCUGUGCGCAGGAUAGGUGGGAGGCGUAGAAGGUAUUCUUGUGGGGAUACUGGAGCCAACGGUGAGAUACCACUCUCAGGAGGCUAGAAUUCUAACUUAAUUAAGGACAGUUUCAGGUGGGUAGUUUGACUGGGGCGGUCGCCUCCAAAAAGGUAACGGAGGCGUACAAAGGUUCCCUCAGACUGGUUGGAAAUCAGUCGAAGAGUGCAAAGGCAGAAGGGAGCUUGACUGCGAGAAGUACAGUUCGAGCAGGGUGGAAACACGGUCUUAGUGAUCCGACGGUGCUGUGUGGAAGGGCCGUCGCUCAACGGAUAAAAGUUACUCUAGGAUAACAGGCUGAUCUCCCCCAAGAGUUCACAUCGACGGGGAGGUUUGGCACCUCGAUGUCGGCUCAUCGCAACCUGGGGCGGAAGUACGUCCCAAGGGUUGGGCUGUUCGCCCAUUAAAGCGGUACGUGAGCUGGGUUCAGAACGUCGUGAGACAGUUCGGUCCAUAUCCGAUGUAGGCGUGAGAAUAUUGAGAGGGCCUUCCUUAGUACGAGAGGACCGGGAAGGACGCACCGCUGGUGUACCUGUUAUGAUGCCAAUUGUAAACGCAGGGUAGCCAAGUGCGGAGAGGAUAACCGCUGAAAGCAUCUAAGUGGGAAGCCCACCUCAAGAUGAGUAUUCUGGUGUAAGGUCACGGGAAGACGACCCGUAAAUAGGCACGAGGUGGAAGUGCAGAGAUGUAUGAAGCCGAAGUGUACUAAUAGACCGUCGGCUU